Molecule: small RNA, 304 nt
Filed under: Pongo abelii (Sumatran orangutan)
Lineage: Eukaryota; Metazoa; Chordata; Mammalia; Primates; Hominidae
Description: Metazoan signal recognition particle RNA (ENSPPYG00000030300.1)
Source: RNAcentral
GCUGGGCGUGGUGGUGCAUACCUGUAAUCCCAGCUACUCGGAGGCCGAGGCAGGAGAAUCGCUCAAACCACAGAAUCGGAGGUUGCAGUGAGCCGAGAUCCCACCACUGCACUCCAGCCUGGCGACAGAGCAAGACUCUGUCUCAAAAAAAAAGAAGAAGAAGGGGCACUUCUGUGGUCUCCAGGGAGUCAGGAUAGACUCUUUUUUUUUUAAGAUGGAGUUUUGCCCAGGCUGGAGUGCAAUGGCAUGAUCUUGGCUCACUGCAACCUCCGCCUCCCGGGUUCAAGCGAUUUUCCUGCCUCAG